UUGCAUUGUCACACUCUUUCAGAGAGUUUUCUGUUCAAUUUAUGCAAUCUUUGUCUGGUGCAAAUAUUGGAGAAAUUAGAAUUUAUUUUUUUCUACGCAACUAUGUUUUUUUUUAUGUAUUAUUAUAUAUGUAUGUUCAUUUUUUUCUUUACGUAUUCAUGAACUUGUAUGUAUGUAUGAUGUGUGUGUUCAUUGUUUUUUUUUC
This 205-nucleotide long non-coding RNA is filed under the name Lathyrus oleraceus (garden pea). Its description in RNAcentral is "Pisum sativum (pea) long non-coding RNA (PSAT_LNC038098)". Lineage: Eukaryota; Viridiplantae; Streptophyta; Magnoliopsida; Fabales; Fabaceae. The record is from RNAcentral.